This 420-nucleotide ribosomal RNA is filed under the name bacterium. Its description in RNAcentral is "partial 16S ribosomal RNA". It matches the Rfam family "Bacterial small subunit ribosomal RNA", at positions 355 to 776 of the family's 1533-position model. The record is from RNAcentral.
UGGGGGAUAUUGCACAAUGGGCGAAAGCCUGAUGCAGCGACGCCGCGUGGGGGAUGAAGGCUUUCGGGUUGUAAACCUCUUUCGCUAUCGAACAAGGCCCGCUUAGGGUGGGUUGAGGGUAGGUGGAGAAGAAGCGCCGGCUAACUACGUGCCAGCAGCCGCGGUAAUACGUAGGGCGCGAGCGUUGUCCGGAAUUAUUGGGCGUAAAGGGCUUGUAGGCUGCUUGUUGCGCCUGCUGUGAAAACGCGGGGCUUCACUUCGCGCGUGCAGUGGGUACGGGCAGGCUUGAGUGUGGUAGGGGUGACUGGAAUUCCAGGUGUAGCGGUGGAAUGCGCAGAUGUCUGGAGGAACACCGAUGGCGAAGACAGGUCACUGGGCCAUUACUGACGCUGAGGAGCGAAAGCAUGGGUAGCGAACAGG